GACGAACGCUGGCGGCGUGCUUAACACAUGCAAGUCGAACGGAAAGGCCCUGCUUUUGUGGGGUGCUCGAGUGGCGAACGGGUGAGUAACACGUGAGUAACCUGCCCUUGACUUUGGGAUAACUUCAGGAAACUGGGGCUAAUACCGGAUAGGAGCUCCUGCUGCAUGGUGGGGGUUGGAAAGUUUCGGCGGUUAGGGGAUGGACUCGCGGCUUAUCAGCUUGUUGGUGGGGUAGUGGCUUACCAAGGCUUUGACGGGUAGCCGGCCUGAGAGGGUGACCGGCCACAUUGGGACUGAGAUACGGCCCAGACUCCUACGGGAGGCAGCAGUGGGGAAUAUUGCACAAUGGGCGGAAGCCUGAUGCAGCAACGCCGCGUGCGGGAUGACGGCCUUCGGGUUGUAAACCGCUUUCGCCUGUGACGAAGCGUGAGUGACGGUAAUGGGUAAAGAAGCACCGGCUAACUACGUG
Molecule: ribosomal RNA, 469 nt
Filed under: uncultured bacterium
Lineage: Bacteria
Description: partial 16S ribosomal RNA
Rfam family: Bacterial small subunit ribosomal RNA
Source: RNAcentral